AGCGAACGCUGGCGGCAGGCUUAACACAUGCAAGUCGAGCGGGCAUCCUUGUGGUGUCAGCGGCAGACGGGUGAGUAACGCGUGGGAACGUGCCCUUCGGUUCGGAAUAACUCAGGGAAACUUGAACUAAUACCGGAUACGUGCGAGAGCAGAAAGGUUUAUCUGCCGAAGGAUCGGCCCGCGUCUGAUUAGCUAGUUGGUGAGGUUAUGGCUCACCAAGGCGACGAUCAGUAGCUGGUCUGAGAGGAUGAUCAGCCACACUGGGACUGAGACACGGCCCAGACUCCUACGGGAGGCAGCAGUGGGGAAUAUUGGACAAUGGGGGCAACCCUGAUCCAGCCAUGCCGCGUGAGUGAUGACGGCCUUAGGGUUGUAAAGCUCUUUUCUCCGGGACGAUAAUGACGGUACCGGAGGAAUAAGCCCCGGCUAACUUCGUG
This 437-nucleotide ribosomal RNA is filed under the name uncultured bacterium. RNAcentral's name for it is "partial 16S ribosomal RNA". It matches the Rfam family "Bacterial small subunit ribosomal RNA", at positions 29 to 507 of the family's 1533-position model. The record is from RNAcentral.